Molecule: long non-coding RNA, 688 nt
Filed under: Oryza sativa Indica Group (long-grained rice)
Lineage: Eukaryota; Viridiplantae; Streptophyta; Magnoliopsida; Poales; Poaceae
Description: lncRNA OsZS97_02G021530
Source: RNAcentral
GGACUGGGGCGGGGCGCCACGGUCAAUUUGGACGCCUCGACUGUGGCACGAACGAAGGAUGCGCCACUCCGGCGGGCGUGCGUCUGUGAGACUGUGACCAGUGCGCGGGGCCACCGCUCAGCUAGCCCGAAUUCCCUUCCACCUGCCGAGCCACGCGCCGGUGGUGCGGCCUCGCGCGCGGAUGCGCGUGUGAAGGGAAUCCGGGGCAGAGCGCCCCUGCGCAGCUGCUGCCCCGGCCCCGGCCGAACGGAUGCCCGCCCCCGUGGGCUUUCGCGUGGGUGCCGGCAUAAAGCUUUACUAGCAGCUUCUGAUCUGUUCUUCGGCCGGGACAGCGACGGCAGUGACGGAAUCCUAUGGCAAUGCAUGCUCCAGAUGGUGACCUACAGUGUGAUAGUAUUUGGCCCUAACAACGCCACCGCCCUUCUCCUUCUCCGUGCGUGCUGCUUUGGGCCGACGAACACGAGCAUCUUCGUGGAGAAGACGGAGAAGAAGGCGCAUGGAACCUGGUGCUCAUUUGCGAUGGGCGGUAACCAGUCGCGAGCGAAGUCGACGAUGACCCAAUUGGGCUUCUUGCUGAAAGGAUUUGGCCCUCUACCUCCACCACCCUCCCAAUCUCUAGCAGUGUCAAUGGCGGCGCAGGCGUUGGUGAGGACUGAGGAGAAGAGGAUGAGGAGAUAGAGAAGAGAGG